GUCUAUGGCCAUGCUCCCGAACAAGUCUGAUCUCAGAAGCUAAGCAGGAUUGGGCCUGGUUAGUACUUGGAUGAGAGACCACCUAGGAAGACCAGGUGCUGUAUGCA
Molecule: ribosomal RNA, 107 nt
Filed under: Pteropus alecto (black flying fox)
Lineage: Eukaryota; Metazoa; Chordata; Mammalia; Chiroptera; Pteropodidae
Source: RNAcentral